Molecule: ribosomal RNA, 427 nt
Filed under: uncultured bacterium
Lineage: Bacteria
Description: bacterial SSU rRNA
Rfam family: Bacterial small subunit ribosomal RNA
Source: RNAcentral
UGGGGAAUUUUGGACAAUGGGGGCAACCCUGAUCCAGCCAUCCCGCGUGUGCGAUGAAGGCCUUCGGGUUGUAAAGCACUUUUGGCAGGGAAGAAACAGCCUGGGCUAAUAUCCCGGGCGACUGACGGUACCUGCAGAAUAAGCACCGGCUAACUACGUGCCAGCAGCCGCGGUAAUACGUAGGGUGCAAGCGUUAAUCGGAAUUACUGGGCGUAAAGCGUGCGCAGGCGGUUCGGAAAGAAAGGUGUGAAAUCCCAGGGCUUAACCUUGGAACUGCACUUUUAACUACCGGGCUAGAGUACGUCAGAGGGGGGUAGAAUUCCACGUGUAGCAGUGAAAUGCGUAGAGAUGUGGAGGAAUGCCGAUGGCGAAGGCAGCCCCCUGGGAUGAUACUGACGCUCAUGCACGAAAGCGUGGGGAGCAAACA